CAGUCGCCACGGGAAUACGUAGGUGGCAAGCGUUGUCCGGAUUUAUUGGGCGUAAAGGGAGUGUAGGCGGUCUUUUAAGUCUGAUGUGAAAGCCCACGGCUCAACCGUGGAGGGUCAUUGGAAACCGGUUGACUUGAGUGCAGAAGAGGAGAGUGGAAUUCCAUGUGUAGCGGUGAAAUGCGUAGAUAUAUGGAGGAACACCGGUGGCGAAAGCGGCUCUCUGGCUUGUAACUGACGCUGAGGCUCGAAAGCGUGGGGAGCAAACAGGAUUAGAUACCCGCGUAGUCCCUGUCUCUUAUAC
RNAcentral lists this ribosomal RNA (301 nucleotides) under uncultured bacterium. Its description in RNAcentral is "partial 16S ribosomal RNA". It matches the Rfam family "Bacterial small subunit ribosomal RNA", at positions 509 to 807 of the family's 1533-position model. The record is from RNAcentral.